RNAcentral lists this ribosomal RNA (405 nucleotides) under uncultured bacterium. Its description in RNAcentral is "partial 16S ribosomal RNA". It matches the Rfam family "Bacterial small subunit ribosomal RNA", at positions 28 to 526 of the family's 1533-position model. The record is from RNAcentral.
GACGAACGCUGGCGGCGUGCUUAACACAUGCAAGUCGAGCGGAGCGGCGAACGGGUGAGUAACGCGUGAGUAAUUGCCCCCCUCUCUGGGAAAACAGUUGGAAACUGCUGCUAAUACCGGAUAGUGGGGGAUGACUCGGGUCCAAUCAGCUUGUUAGUGGGGUAGUGGCCUAUCAAGGCGACGCCGGGUAGCCGGCCUGGGAGGUCGACCGGCCACAUUGGGCUAAGAUACGGCCCAAACUCCAACAGGAGACAGCAGUGGGGAGUAUUGCGCAAUGGGGGAAACCCUAAUGAAGCAACGCCGGGGGCGGGAUGACGGCCUUCGGGUUGUAAACCGCUUUCAGCCAUGACGCGGUACUGGCAGAAGAAGCACCGGCUAACUACGUGCCAGCAGCCGCGGUAAUAC